Molecule: long non-coding RNA, 1290 nt
Organism: Sapajus apella (tufted capuchin)
Lineage: Eukaryota; Metazoa; Chordata; Mammalia; Primates; Cebidae
Exons: 2
Source: RefSeq, a predicted model, not a curated record
UCUAUUUCAAAACAUCAAAUGUUUUAAAUCUCUACUAUUUAAUAGGCUUAUCAAAAUCAAACUUCAGUUUCAAAAUUAUGUUUCCUGAUGCCUGGCUUUUCGAAGCUACAGAGGACCCCUGAAGCAUCCACAAGAGAGGUCAACAGAUUAGUUAACAUGUUUAGGUACAUGGGUUUGCCAAAAUGAUGUUUAAUUUUCAGGUUAUAUUUUAGGGAGUAAUAUUAACAUAGGUUCCAAAAUUAUGCGGGAUUUCUAAAAUUCUAAUGUCUGAGUAUAUGCUAUCAAUCACAAUUAAGGUUGUUAUGUUAAGUUUUGUAAACCUUGGAGAUAACCACAUUUCUUUGUCAAUCUUGUUUCUGACUGUAACCACCCUGUACAUUUUGUUAUUCACAAACAAUGUUUGUCUUGUUUUGAUCCUUUUCGAAAGACGGCUUAUAAUAAACUAUGGGACCCUGACAAGUGCUCUCAAAUACAGGUUUCUGAUAACUUCGGCGACUAUAACAUUGGAAUAAAGGAAAACUAUACAGGACUCAUGAAGAUUCUGAAAUGUUCACGAAUCUCAAGCAAAACAAGAGCUAACUAAAUGGACUAAUAGAAAACUGAAGUAAUCUUUUUGACUUUUGCUUGAAAUAUUGCUAAUCUUUGUUUCAUUUUUCAGAGUCAAGGAAACGUAUUUUGAGCUAUUUACAGACUUUAAUAAUUGAGAAAGGCCAUCAGACUCCAAAUGGUCAUGCAACCGGAGCCACGGAUGAUGGCCCCUUUUGCUGGAGACCCUUAGAUAGGCCUCUGAAGAAGAUCUGACCACCAUUUUCCCAAAAUAGAAUCGACCUUAUGGCUCAAACACCUCCUACCCCCUGUCAUUAGGGAGCAGUUAGGAUUGGUUUUUGUUCUUAUCCUUAUCUUUAUUCUAACAGAAGAUAGAUGUACAUUUUUAGAGCGGGGAAUGAGGCAGCCAAAUGCCUAGCCAGAUAAUAAAGGGUCCCUGGAGAAUCUCUGAGCUGCCCCACAAGUAUUUGCAUUAGAUGUUUUCGUGCAAAUGAGGGAAGCUUCUCAGGGCUUAUCUGGGCAUGCCCACAGUGGACUGGAGCCCAACAAGCACACUAGAGGGUGGAGCUAUGGGGAAUUCAAACCUUAUGCAGGGGAGAAACCUGCUUUCUUCAGUUUAUGUGGUGACCUGGGAAUCAAUCUAUGAGGUAGAGGACCUAUUAGCAGGUCUCCAUCUCACUUUGCUGAGUUUUUUUCUUUCUUUUUUUCCUUUUCCAAUAAAGUCCUGCUGUAUUCACCCUUCAA